ACAUGCAUGGAAGCACCUGGAGAUCUUGUCAAAACGUAGAUCUUGAUAUUUUAAUUAGGUGAAUGGGAGGGUGGGGGCACUAAGAUUUUACAUUUCUAACAAGCUCCCAAUUUAUGCCCAU
RNAcentral lists this microRNA precursor (121 nucleotides) under Marmota monax (woodchuck). Lineage: Eukaryota; Metazoa; Chordata; Mammalia; Rodentia; Sciuridae. The record is from RNAcentral.